UCUGGUUGAUCCUGCCGGACCCGACUGCUAUCAGAGUGGGACUAAGCCAUGCGAGUUGACGUAGUAAUACGUAGCGAACGGCUCAGUAACACGUAGUCAACAUGCCCAGGGGACGUGGAUAACCUCGGGAAACUGAGAAUAAACCGCGAUAGGUCACAAUUUCUGGAAUGGAUUUUGGCUUAAAUCUACAUGGCCCCUGGAUUGGACUGCGGCCGAUCAGGCUGUUGGUGAGGUAAUGGCCCACCAAACCUGUAACCGGUACGGGCUCUGAGAGGAGGAGCCCGGAGAUGGGCACUGAGACAAGGGCCCAGGCCCUAUGGGGCGCAGCAGGCGCGAAACCUCUGCAAUGGGCGAAAGCCUGACAGGGUUACUCUGAGUGAUUUCCGCUAAGGGGAUCUUUUGACACCUCUAAAAAUGGUGUAGAAUAAGGGGUGGGCAAGUCUGGUGUCAGCCGCCGCGGUAAUACCAGCACCCCGAGUGGUCGGGACGAUUAUUGGGCCUAAAGCAUCCGUAGCCGGUUCUGCAAGUCUUCCGUUAAAUCCAGCCGCUCAACGGAUGGGCUGCGGAAGAUACUAUAGGACUAGGAGGCGGGA
RNAcentral lists this ribosomal RNA (593 nucleotides) under uncultured archaeon. RNAcentral's name for it is "bacterial SSU rRNA". It matches the Rfam family "Archaeal small subunit ribosomal RNA", at positions 1 to 604 of the family's 1478-position model. The record is from RNAcentral.